GUCUACGGCCCUACCACCCUGGACGUGCCCAGUCUCUUCUGAUCUUGGAAGGUAAGCAGGGUGGUGCCUGGUUAGGACUUGGAUGGGAGAGUGCCAGUCAGACU
This 104-nucleotide ribosomal RNA is filed under the name Jaculus jaculus (lesser Egyptian jerboa). Lineage: Eukaryota; Metazoa; Chordata; Mammalia; Rodentia; Dipodidae. The record is from RNAcentral.